Molecule: ribosomal RNA, 253 nt
Filed under: uncultured bacterium
Lineage: Bacteria
Description: partial 16S ribosomal RNA
Rfam family: Bacterial small subunit ribosomal RNA
Source: RNAcentral
GACGAACCGUCCAAACGUUAUUCGGAAUCACUGGGCUUACAGAGUUCGUAGGCGGUCUGGAAAGUUGGGUGUGAAAUCCCUCGGCCUAACCGAGGAACUGCACUUGAAACUACCAGACUCGAGGGGGAUAGAGGAAAGCGGAACUGAUGGUGGAGCGGUGAAAUGCGUUGAUAUCAUCAGGAACACCGGUGGCGAAGGCGGCUUUCUGGGUCUUACCUGACGCUGAGGAACGAAAGCCAGGGGAGCGAACGGG